RNAcentral lists this ribosomal RNA (163 nucleotides) under Hypocreales sp. Its description in RNAcentral is "partial large subunit ribosomal RNA". It matches the Rfam family "Eukaryotic large subunit ribosomal RNA", at positions 99 to 261 of the family's 3401-position model. The record is from RNAcentral. Lineage: Eukaryota; Fungi; Ascomycota; Sordariomycetes; Hypocreales.
CGGCAACAGCUCAAAUUUGAAAUCUGGCCCCUAGGGUCCGAGUUGUAAUUUGCAGAGGAUGCUUUUGACAAGGUGCCUUCCGAGUUCCCUGGAACGGGACGCCAUAGAGGGUGAGAAUCCCGUACGUGACUGGCUGCCUUCGCCUAUGUGAAGCUCUUUCGAC